This 164-nucleotide ribosomal RNA is filed under the name uncultured bacterium. RNAcentral's name for it is "partial 16S ribosomal RNA". It matches the Rfam family "Bacterial small subunit ribosomal RNA", at positions 355 to 511 of the family's 1533-position model. The record is from RNAcentral.
UAGGGAAUCUUCCACAAUGGACGCAAGUCUGAUGGAGCAACGCCGCGUGAGUGAAGAAGGGUUUCGGCUCGUAAAGCUCUGUUGUUAAAGAAGAACACGUAUGAGAGUAACUGUUCAUACGUUGACGGUAUUUAACCAGAAAGCCACGGCUAACUACGUGCCAG